RNAcentral lists this ribosomal RNA (357 nucleotides) under Plesiomonas shigelloides 302-73. RNAcentral describes it as "bacterial SSU rRNA". It matches the Rfam family "Bacterial small subunit ribosomal RNA", at positions 1180 to 1533 of the family's 1533-position model. Lineage: Bacteria; Pseudomonadati; Pseudomonadota; Gammaproteobacteria; Enterobacterales; Enterobacteriaceae. The record is from RNAcentral.
UGACGUCAAGUCAUCAUGGCCCUUACGAGUAGGGCUACACACGUGCUACAAUGGCAUAUACAAAGGGCGGCAAGCUAGCGAUAGUGAGCGAAUCCCAUAAAGUAUGUCGUAGUCCGGAUUGGAGUCUGCAACUCGACUCCAUGAAGUCGGAAUCGCUAGUAAUCGCGGAUCAGAAUGCCGCGGUGAAUACGUUCCCGGGCCUUGUACACACCGCCCGUCACACCAUGGGAGUGGGUUGCAAAAGAAGUAGGUAGCUUAACCUUCGGGAGGGCGCUUACCACUUUGUGAUUCAUGACUGGGGUGAAGUCGUAACAAGGUAACCGUAGGGGAACCUGCGGUUGGAUCACCUCCUUACCU